This is a non-coding RNA of Cyanidioschyzon merolae strain 10D, 82 nucleotides long. Lineage: Eukaryota; Rhodophyta; Bangiophyceae; Cyanidiales; Cyanidiaceae. The record is from the annotation of a RefSeq genome assembly.
GCAGACGUGACCGAGUGGUUAAGGUGCAUGACUCGAAAUCAUGUGGUGUCUCGCCGCGCAGGUUCGAAUCCUGCCGUCUGCG